Molecule: ribosomal RNA, 253 nt
Filed under: uncultured bacterium
Lineage: Bacteria
Description: partial 16S ribosomal RNA
Rfam family: Bacterial small subunit ribosomal RNA
Source: RNAcentral
UACGUAGGGGGCAAGCGUUGUCCGGAUUUAUUGGGCGUAAAGAGCGUGUAGGCGGCCUGACAGGUCUGCUGUGAAAACUCGAGGCUCAACCUCGAGAUGUCGGCGGAAACCGUCUGGCUAGAGUCCGGAAGAGGAGAGUGGAAUUCCUGGUGUAGCGGUGAAAUGCGCAGAUAUCGUAAGGAAGACCAGUGGCGAAGGCGGGUCUCUGGACAGUUCCUGACGCUGAGGCACGAAGGCCAGGGGAGCAAACGGG